UGGUAAGGUAACGGCUUACCAAGGCAACGAUGCGUAGCCGACCUGAGAGGGUGAUCGGCCACACUGGAACUGAGACACGGUCCAGACUCCUACGGGAGGCAGCAGUAGGGAAUCUUCCGCAAUGGGCGAAAGCCUGACGGAGCAACGCCGCGUGAGUGAUGAAGGUCUUCGGAUCGUAAAACUCUGUUAUUAGGGAAGAACAAAUGUGUAAGUAACUAUGCACGUCUUGAC
This 231-nucleotide ribosomal RNA is filed under the name Trichormus variabilis PNB. RNAcentral's name for it is "partial 16S ribosomal RNA". It matches the Rfam family "Bacterial small subunit ribosomal RNA", at positions 250 to 473 of the family's 1533-position model. The record is from RNAcentral. Lineage: Bacteria; Bacillati; Cyanobacteriota; Cyanophyceae; Nostocales; Nostocaceae.